UGGGAUGUGGCUCAAGUGGUAGCGCACUUGUCUCGCAUGCAUGAGGCACUGGGUUCAAUCCUCAGCACCACAU
This 73-nucleotide transfer RNA is filed under the name Ictidomys tridecemlineatus (thirteen-lined ground squirrel). Its description in RNAcentral is "Spermophilus tridecemlineatus (thirteen-lined ground squirrel) tRNA". It matches the Rfam family "tRNA". Rfam says of the family: Transfer RNA (tRNA) molecules are approximately 80 nucleotides in length. Their secondary structure includes four short double-helical elements and three loops (D, anti-codon, and T loops). Further hydrogen bonds mediate the characteristic L-shaped molecular structure. tRNAs have two regions of fundamental functional importance: the anti-codon, which is responsible for specific mRNA codon recognition, and the 3' end, to which the tRNAs corresponding amino acid is attached (by aminoacyl-tRNA synthetases). tRNAs cope with the degeneracy of the genetic code in two manners: having more than one tRNA (with a specific anti-codon) for a particular amino acid; and 'wobble' base-pairing, i.e. permitting non-standard base-pairing at the 3rd anti-codon position. The record is from Rfam by way of RNAcentral. Lineage: Eukaryota; Metazoa; Chordata; Mammalia; Rodentia; Sciuridae.